CAUUUCAAAAAUGGAUGGUUGAGAUUGAAUGACUGGAUAACCUAUUCAGCCCUUUGUUAUUGAGCACCUGAGUCACAUGUGACUCUUAUAAGGGCUAACAGAACCAGACGCAUGCUGUGGAGGUAGAAGACGACGCUCGCUCCAAGUUUUCUCUCUAAAUCGAAUCGUAAGAGCCUCCAGCUCUUUUCUCUGCUUGCCUAAAUCCAAUCAUAAGCGCCCCCAAAUCCUCUCUCUGCUUGCCCAUCAAAUGCUCUCCCUGCUUGCCCACCAAAUCCUCUCCCUACUUCCCAUGAGCGUGAAGAAAGAGAGAGAGACGACGAGGCAUGAAGAAAAGCUCCUCCAAUGCGAUUCUUGUUUUGCAAGGUUUAGCCUCGAUGACCGCCAUUGAUCCACGAUCGGAUCCGUUCAAGAGCUCACCGUUGAAAUUGCGUAGUAAUUAACACCAAGACCAGAGAUCUGAUGGGGCUAGGUACUCCUUGUCUGCUUGCUCAAGAUGCGAUAGGGUGCGAUGUGGACUGAUAGAGGCACUGGCAGCGGGCCUUCCAUAUCUUUAAGACGAAGUCACAUUGACACCCUUCGAUCCCACGUCCUUAAUCCCAACCGUUACUUUGGCCCUGUGGAUGAAAUCUUCGAUGUUCGAAACCUGUAUCAACCAUCAGAAUGUCUGGCUUGCCUUCGACGUCCAUAGCUUGUACCACAACAAUCUCUGUCAAGUCAGGGAUGAUGAUGAUUUUGUCGGUCUCUAUGUGGAUGAUGAAAAUGAUAAUUUUGGUGGAUUUGAGCUCAGCAAUCGCAGUCAGUACAUACCAUCUUUGCUUCUGUAAUUUUGAUCGGCCUCUGGCCUCUAAUUAUUUAUUUCAACGUUUCAAGAUUCAUUACACUACUAUUGCGACUCAGUUCUUUUUCAAGUUUAUGGUCGUUUAAAGUUUCAAUAAUUAAUCUUGCUGCCAUUGUUUGUAUGUCCUAACAUUUGUUGUAAAAUGUGUCUAAAUUUGAUGAACUGUCUACGUUUUUUUGCUGCGUUCUUAUAGCAUCAUCUGUUAUUGGGGCUCUGUUCUUUAUCAAGUUCAUGGUCGUUUUAGCUUUGUCAUUUGGUUUCAGAGCUUAAUCUUGUUGCUGGGUUUAUCAGUUUGUUGAAGAUUUUGGUCAAUCAGUCUGAAUUAUUUGGUUUCAAAAAUUAAUCUUGUUGCUGUGUCUUUCAGUUUCUUGAGAGGAUUUCUGUCAAUCUGUUUGCAUCAGUAGUUUGUGUUUCCCAAUAUUGUUUUGUCAUAAAAUCUGCUUAAAUUUGAUGAACGAUCUGCACUUUUUCUUUCUAGUAUCUCCUCCUUAUCUAAUUUUUCUCGUCUCUUCUUGUUCACAAUUUCAAUAAUCUAGGAACUCGGCGAUUCAUUGAAGGUGAAAUCCCCUUGAUUUCUGUGCACCUUCGUGAGCUGGCUGUACCUACACCUCAGUUCCAACAUGAAUAUCAUGUGAUCGUCGGGAUACAUUCGAACGAGUUUAGGCGUCUUAUCACUUAUCUGGGCCAUUUCGGAGUGUUAGUUGCUGCACAUGUAACAGAUACUAAAGUUAAGUUCUCACCGAAUCGAGGUCGUCACGAGAAAACUGAAGACAAAGCUGGCGACUCUGCCUAAGCGAGGUCCUCAACUCUUCUCUCUGCUUGCCCAAAACUGAUAUGCAGAGAGGUAAUCGUUGCGAAAUUGAUGAUGGGUCCAGCCUCCAUGAUGUAGUGGUCACCAAAUUGAGUGGAAUUUAGUUUGAUUUGUUGGAAUUGCGUGAACGACGACAUUUGAGUUGGUGGAGAAAGGAAGUGUAAAGAGGAUGCGUUGAAAAUUUGGAAACAUCAAGGGAUUCUUUUGGCAGAGGAGUUGAAGGGUUAGAAGCAGUUAGGUGCACAAAUGGCAAGGAAGGUGCACAUCACCGCAUUGGUUACUGAAAAGGAGUAUGGAUACAUGUGAAAAAACAAAUAAAGGAAAUUUGUACUGGAUAAUUUGUCUUUGUGCCAAAAUCAUGAGUUGCUUAGGUGAAAUACAAAUCUGUUUUUAUUA
RNA transcript from Prunus dulcis (almond), 2045 nucleotides. It is a transcript of the gene named proliferating cell nuclear antigen-like, with no coding region annotated. The transcript has 6 exons. NCBI's taxonomy places the organism in Eukaryota, Viridiplantae, Streptophyta, Magnoliopsida, Rosales, Rosaceae. The record is from RefSeq and is a predicted model, not a curated record.